This 296-nucleotide ribosomal RNA is filed under the name uncultured bacterium. RNAcentral's name for it is "partial 16S ribosomal RNA". It matches the Rfam family "Bacterial small subunit ribosomal RNA", at positions 332 to 626 of the family's 1533-position model. The record is from RNAcentral.
UUGAGCUACGGGGGGCAGCAGUGAGGAAUAUUGGUCAAUGGGCGGAAGCCUGAACCAGCCAAGUCGCGUGAGGGAAGAAGGCCCUGCGGGUCGCAGACCUCUUUGGACGGGGAGCAAGGCCGCCGACGUGUCGGCGGAAGGAGAGUACCCGUAGAACAAGCAUCGGCUAACUCCGUGCCAGCAGCCGCGGUAAUACGUAGGGGGCAAGCGUUAUCCGGAUUUACUGGGUGUAAAGGGAGCGUAGACGGCUGUGCAAGUCUGAAGUGAAAGCCCAGGGCUCAACCCUGGGACUGCUU